CAAGUCGAGCGAGAACCAGGGCUUCGGCCCUGGGGACAGCGGCGAACGGGUGAGUAACACGUGGGUAAUCAACCCCCGACACCGGGAUAGCCCAGGGAAACUUGGAUUAAUACCGGAUGCUCCGUCUGGCCUUCGGGCCGGCCGGAAAAGGGUAGCUUCGGCCUCCGGUCGGGGACGAGCCCGCGGCGGAUUAGCUUGUUGGUGAGGUAAAGGCUCACCAAGGCGACGAUCCGUAGCUGGUCUGAGAGGACGAUCAGCCACACUGGGACUGAGACACGGCCCAGACUCCUACGGGAGGCAGCAGUAGGGAAUCUUGCGCAAUGGGCGAAAGCCUGACGCAGCGACGCCGCGUGAGGGAAGAAGGCCUUCGGGUUGUAAACCUCUUUCAGGAGGGACGAAGCCACUCGGGUUAAUAGCCUAGAGGGUGACGGUACCUCCAGAAGAAGCCCCGGCUAACUACGUGCCAGCAGCCGCGGUAAUACGUAGGGGGCAAGCGUUGUCCGGAUUUAUUGGGCGUAAAGAGCGUGUAGGCGGCCUUACAGGUCAGCUGUGAAAACUCGAGGCUCAACCUCGAGAGGUCGGUUGAAACCGUAAGGCUAGAGUCCGGAAGAGGAGAGUGGAAUUCCCGGUGUAGCGGUGAAAUGCGCAGAUAUCGGGAAGAACACCCGUGGCGAAGGCGGCUCUCUGGGACGGUACUGACGCUGAGACGCGAAAGCGUGGGGAGCGAACAGGAUUAGAUACCCUGGUAGUCCACGCCGUAAACGAUGGGCACUAGGUGUGGCGGGUAUCGACUCCCGCUGUGCC
Molecule: ribosomal RNA, 804 nt
Filed under: uncultured Actinomycetes bacterium
Lineage: Bacteria; Bacillati; Actinomycetota; Actinomycetes
Description: bacterial SSU rRNA
Rfam family: Bacterial small subunit ribosomal RNA
Source: RNAcentral